UUCCCAAUAGAGAGAGGUCAGGUUAAGUUGGUUUCUCACUAUCUAUUUUAGAACAUUCUAGUGGGAAGAGUCCCUUUGUGAAACUUUAGAUUUAGGUACAUGGAUCCCCUGUGUCUAGCACACAGCUAUUUGUCAAUAGCUGUUGUGCAAACACAUGGUCCAAUGAGUCAUGGUCAGGGUAACAAAAAAACAUGACACAAUGGAAGACACAGCCUUUCACUUCAUUCCCAGAAAGGAGCUAUUGGAGUGUCAGGCACUUGUAGAGCUUCCCUUUUGCAGAUGCUGAGUUUCUAGCCCAAUCCGACUAUGGACUGCCAGUUCCCCAUGCAUCGAAAUGUCCUUUGGGAAUACCACAUUGGCAUUGGAAUAAUUCCCUUGGUUCAUGUGUAUGUGUAUUACUGAAACCUAUGUGUACUAUUCCAAUGGAAAUUCUGCCGUUGAAUAGGAAAACACCAACCUGGGCCAUCAAGAGUAAAGGGCAAGCUACAGCUUUAUGCUUUAAGGAGCAAUGGAGAGGGCAGACUAAGAAAAAGGAGGGCUACUUGUGAAGGAACUAAAAGGAGAUGCUUGGGAAGAGGAAGGUCCCGGGCGUAAGAUGUAGGUGAUACCAGGCUUUUCCAUGGGGCUGGCUUUGAGAAGAGAUGGUGUUCUUUUAGGGAGCAUGGAAGGAACUAGGAGAUGGCCUUUUCUACAGAUCAGGGGUCCCAAGUCUGAGAGUAGCCAAGGAAAGGCAACUUCAGUUAGAGCCCGGAGUCAUCCAAUGGAUCAGAGAGUGGCCCAAGAUAGCAGAGAUUUGAAUGGGAAAUAUGAGAGAAUGACUCAGAACUUAAUGAAAAUUGUCCUACUCUAUCUCUUCUCCCUCUCCCCAACUUUCUAAGGACGUGGGACAAUUGAAGGCAGCAAAACUAUUUCUCCUCUUGUUCUAAAGUAUUCUUCUACAAAAAUCAAAUAAUACCAGACUUUUUCUUUUGUAUAAGAAUAACUUAAUGGGGAUACAAUUCUCAUGUAAAAACUUUACUUGCCCUGUUUUCUCUUGAAACUUUGGGACUUGCUCUUAACUAGCCUUCCAUGUGUACCUGUCAAUGACCACAUUAAUGAUGAGUUGUAAAUGAUGUCAAGGGAAAUACUCGGGAGUAUGUGAUCAUGCUUAGGUCAUGAGGUUUUUUUUUUUUUUUAUAGAUUUGAGUUACAUUGCUCUGGUUUUCUGUUGCAUUUAUACACAGCAAUCUAGUCAUAUUUUCUGCUCAUAAAAGUCAUACCUAGUCAUACCUAGUUCAGAUACCAGGAUUAACUGCAUCUUUUUUUACUGGGGCUGUGCAAGGAUCAUGGUAUUCUGUGAUUCCCAGGUGUUCUGCCACCUGGACAACAUACAGAACUUUUAUAUGGUCAUGGUUUCCAUACGUGACUCUUGCGUGUGGCUACAAUAUUUGUUAUUGCUGAUUGUACGUCCCAGAUCAUCUUUCCAUAGCACUUUAUUAGGAGUUCUAAUAAAGUGCUAUGGAAAGAUGCAAAUAAAACAUGCAAAGGGUUUUAUUUGCCUAGAUUUACCAGACAGAGUUGAAGCUUGCAAGGUGGUAUUGUGUAUAGAGAGCCACGCCCACUGGGACAUGUGGCAAACGCAAGGAAAUGCCAAAUGGAUAAGUUUCUCAGGAAGGUCGGGAGGUGAGUCCUGUUUCUGGGGAAGCUGUCCCCCAGCCACAGGGCAAAUCAAUACCUGAACCUGCUCUUACAAAAUGGAAGUUGAAAGCACUCCAUAACCGGUUGAUUAGGCUUAGAAAAAUAACUGGAAAGAUGAUCAAAAACAUUGAGUAUCUGCCACGUGCCUUAGAAAUACAGUCAUUUGAGGAGAGCCAAUCCAAAGCGCCAGUUUAUGGGAGGAAGAACCAAGAUAUGACAAGCAUCAAGAAGCUUCCAAAUGAAUAGAUUUAGUUGCCUGCCACAGAGAUCUGGGUGGUGAAAUCAUGCCUGAUUUCAGAAAACUGGCUUCUUUGGAAGGCUAAUGCCUGAAAUCAGAUUUCCCAAAGGCUGGCUAGAAAGAGAAAUGUUAUCUCAGUAUUCAAUCCAAAUCGUUGGAGCUCCAAGCCAAUGUCCUUGAGAGAACAAUCAGGUUUUAAGCAGCACAAUCCAAAUAUAAACACUAAGCCUGAAGAGCAAGACUUAGCUUCAGAAGAAGAAAGAGGAGGCAGAGCCCAGGGUCAGAAUAGAAUGUCUAGUAUUUAUGGAGUACUUACCAUUUAAGUACCAGACACUGAAGAAUAUUUACAAAUUAACUCAUUUAAAUGAGAAUGAUGCUAAUAGCAUCCCCAUCUUGCACAGGGAAUUCAAGUAGCUUUUCUAGGGUCACACAACUAGAAAGCUGUUGAAUUGGGAUUUAAACUCAGAUAAUAUGAAGCAGCUCAGAUACCAUGUUUCUGUGGCUGUGGCAUAGGCCUGCAGCUGCAGCUCUGAUUCCACCCCAGCCUAGGGACUUCUCUAAAAAGACGAAGAAAAACAAAACAAAACAAAAACACAAACAAUAAAAGGAACAGGUGUGGACCUAGACUUGAACAAACAAGGAGAAUUCAGGAUGAUUCACCCAAAUAAAAUGAAGUCUUUAUUUUGCUUCUCUGGCUCUCUGUGUGUAGUUGAUGUGUAUCAGGAAGGCUUGAUGUUAGAAGAAGGGACAGAGAAUCAUACAGUGCUUAGGAAUUCGUGGGCAAUGAUCCCUUGCAAGUUUGGAGGUCAUCACUCUUCUGAGAACUCGCUCUCUGAAGAGUCCUUCCUCAUUUGCAUUUUCUACCGCUGACGUGUCAGGUGAUAUGUUUGUGAGUCAUUCCUAGCAGACGCAUUCAAGGGUAUCAUCUACAUGGUUCAGACAGGAGCCAAGCUGCUGCUGCUUCCUGUUUGCCUAUCUCAGGGUAUUCAUGGGCACCAAACUGAGGCUAGCCCCAUGGCCCCAAGGCCAGCAAAUAGAAGGCAAGAUUCAAUCACUUCCUAGCUGGCGUCUGGUUUCCUCAACCCUCAAUUACAUUUGCUGGCCUUGUCUGAAUGCAGGGUUGGUGGAAGUGACCCUUAUGAAAGAGAAGACCUCAAAAUUCUCUCUGGCCUUGCUCUCAGGAGACCCUCCAGCCCCUGAAAUGCAGCAUGUAAGCUCUUGUGACUCUUGUUCUAUAAGAAAAGUCUUAGUAUUACAGCUUACAAGAAAAAUCCUAAAAUAAGCCUAGGAAAAUAAGACUGACUUAUCACUCCUUUCCCACCAAGCACCACUAUUGUAAAUAAGAAACCAAAUAGACACCCCACAACCACUCUCCCAUGCCAUGUGUACCCCUUCCCUGCUCGGAACUGCAGGAAGCAAUCUCCUUACCCUGAAAUUGUCAGGAAGGCACUAGCUGACAGGUUGUGUUAUUGCUUCUGAUCCCAUUGGUCACAUUGAGUAACAUCUUAACUCCUAACCUAAUCCGAUGGAUGCAGCUUGACAGGGCGUAGCAGGGAUGCUGGUCCAACUUCGCACAGCUGUAUUCAGACCCCGCCUCCCAGCAGGCUGCUGAAUACCUGCACAGCAUUCAAAGUACUUGAGAGCAUAAGCCUCCCUCAAAAUAGGUGCAAGAGCAGCAGCCUAUCCCUAAAUGCAGCAUUAAGUCCUGACAAAUACUUACGGCUAUUCUUGAUUUCCUAUUUGAAGACAGUUCAAGAUCUUUAGUUAGUCUAAGAAAAAGUGUUGUUUAGAUGGCUAAAGUUGUAGAGACCCUCAGAAGUACUUUAUAUUCAAUAAAAUCAUUACAUCAAUACAGAUGGCCAUGUCAAUGACGUCUUACUCAUCUCCAUCUUAAAAUAGGAGGAUUGAGCAAGUCAAUUCCAUGCACUGUCUCUUCCUUGGGAUAAAUUUUUAGAUUUUGUAUUUGUUUUACUUUAUUAUAGGCAAGUGUGUGCUAAGAGGAAUUUAGCUUUUCUGUGCCUGGGCCUCCGUCUAGAUAAUCAGGGAUGUUCUGAUUUUAUGGCCCAGAGUUACUUAGGUUGACCUCCUGGGUCCCUGUAUGUGCCCAAGAUGCAGACUCAAGUCAUAUGGUGUCAACUUCUUUACACCCCAUCCCCACCUCCUGCCUUUGAAGGUACAAGAGUGAGGGCAUAGCUUGCGUAAAAUUCCCUUUUUCUCUCUCAAUACUUAUUUGAAAAAGCCGUCAUUCUUGUUUUGCCUGAAAAUUAACUCUUAACUCUUACCUCGGGCCCAUCCUCCAUGACCUCCCAGCAUCUCUGUAGUCAGAGAGAUCUAAUCUUGAGCCUUGUCUCUGACCUUUAGCAGAUGUGAAUUCUUACACCAGUUACUGAACAUAGAUAGCUUCGGUUUCAGCAUCUGUACAAUGGGGAAAUACUACUUCAGUUCUGCUGGGUGAUUUUAAGAAUUAAGUGAUAUAUGCAUACAAAGUGCUCAGCACAGCGUCAGACACAUGGGUGGGACCUGCUCAGAGAUCAUCCUGUUUAGGAGUCAAGGUUGUAGUGAUGCCAGAUGUGGGCUUUGGAGGGGGACCCACCCCUGUUCGUUGUCCAGAUCUGUUACCUACUGCCCCUUUGAGCAAUAUUACUUCUCUGAAUCUUGUUUUCCUACAAUAUAACAAAAGCAUGAUAUAAUAGUGACGACUGCCAUAACAGGAUAAGUGGGCACGAAAAUUUAAUCACAUAAAACAAGGGGUUGCAUUAGGGAAAUAAUUGGAGUGAGUCUUUUUCAGUAGGCUGGCUAUAAGGUAGAAGAGUCCAUCUAGGCAUUCUAAACCCGUCUGGCUUCUGACUUCGAUUUAGCAUCCUCUGGUGGCAAGUAUCCCCUGCAGCUUAAAUAUCGAUGGGGAGAUUCUGCAUCCCACUGAAUCAGUGGAAUUUCCUGCCCUUCCCUGUUGUCUCUCUUGUCUCAGCCUGUUGAGCCAGGAGAAUGUUGGAAACUCAGGGACACAUCCUUAGCCUCUCUAACACCCAGACAAGGUUGUCUGAUAUUUCAUUGCCCAAUCUCACCUGCAGAAACUAAAAACUUUAUCCUACCACUGUCUAUCUAAAAAUGGGGUUGGGCGAGAGAAAAUUGCCAAUUGUAUCAUAUGAAAUCGUGUUACCGUGGGGUAUUUUUGCCAUGGAAUUUUAUUGUAUCUAUCUUUAAACAUUUUUAGAGUUAUGUGAGACUAAACACGAAAUGCACUAUCUCCUAUGUGAGCCGCUAUAACAAAAUACUGGGUAGCUCAUAAGCAACCGAAAUUUCUUUCUAGCAGUUUCAAAGGUUAGGAAGUCCAAGGUCAGUGUGCCAGGAAGCUUGGGUAAGGGCCACCUUCCUGGUUCACAGCUGGCACCUUUUCAUUGUCCGCAUAUGGUAGAAGUGGGCUAAGGAUCUCUGGAGCCUCUUUUAUAAAGCACAUAUUUCUUUCAUGAAGAUUCUAUAUCAUGACUUCUGUACCUCCCAAAGCUCCACCUGCUAACACCAUCACCUUUGGGGGAUAUGAUUUUAGCAUCUGAAUUUGGGGAGACACAAACGUUCAGAUGAUAGCAUGCACUUAAUACAACUCCUGGUAUAUUCUUAUUAAAUCAUAAGAAACAUUAUUAUUGAUAAAAUAUAACACAUAACUUAAAACAGAAGUCCUGGAGGUUUUCUAGGAAUAUAAAGAAGUAAACUGACCUAAACUAGAACUGCAUUUAAUAGGAAUUCCAAACUGGGAAGAGAUUACUAAAAUCCUGUAAUAUUAGAAUUUGUGAAAUUUACCGCCUAUGUGAUUUCCCCUAUGCGUAUAGAUCCAGGAGGAACCCCGACUGGCAGAGAAGGGGAAGGUAGGACAACGGGGUGACCUUCUCCCAUUGUGAUCCUUGUCACAAGGGGCUGGUACUGUACUGGGUUUCUGAAGGCACAUUUUUGGUGCUCAGAGCAUAGCUGUUGCAACAUGUUCUUGAAAUCAUUCUUUGAACAGUAGUUUUAAUUCCAUUCCUCAGUAUCGUGCUAUGUUUUAUGCUGAGUUCUAGAGGCAGAAGGUAGAGAUAUGGAUGCU
Molecule: long non-coding RNA, 5993 nt
Filed under: Sus scrofa (pig)
Lineage: Eukaryota; Metazoa; Chordata; Mammalia; Artiodactyla; Suidae
Description: lncRNA (ENSSSCG00030006943.1)
Source: RNAcentral